Molecule: long non-coding RNA, 949 nt
Organism: Heterocephalus glaber (naked mole-rat)
Lineage: Eukaryota; Metazoa; Chordata; Mammalia; Rodentia; Bathyergidae
Source: RefSeq, a predicted model, not a curated record
CACACCGGGUGGCCCUGGACACAUUAUUCCGCACCAGAGGACAGCAGCGUUGUUAAGGGUUUCAAGAAAUGGCAGGUUGAGAUUAAGACAGCUACUGCUGAUAAUGGUCCAAGAGGUCACUGCAUAUUUACAUCUGAAAGUGUAAUUACAGAGGUGAUCCUGAAGUCCUUAACUGCCCCGUAAGUUACCUGAAAGCCUGCUGUCCUCCCAGGACCUGUCCAAGCUGCACCUGAGGGAGAGAAGCCCACCUGCUCCAGCUCUUCCAGAGUAACAGCACUGACACAGGUGUUCCGUUAAAACCAGCAACCAACCCAGGAAGAUUGGAAUGGACUUGGUGGAGCAGGUUCCUGACUGGUCAGAGCAGAAGAAUACGUAUACAAUGAGAAAUACGCUUCUCUCUUAAAGUUAUUUAAACAACUGUUAAUCUUCCACUCAGUAGCUUCUAUGAUGUAGGAGCUGGGAGAGGGACCAGAACUCCAAUAGUAACACGACAGGACCCUAAAGAGUUUUGGAGCUCCUGGUCACAGUCCACAGUGGAGACAACACAGAACAGCUAUGACACAUUGGACCCUACACUUAACGCCCAGCGUCUUCUAAGAAGAGGAAACAGGGAGGAACCUACAGAAGGUGACCAAGGCAGAGGCUGGAGUGGUGCUGCCACAAGCCAAGGGUACCAGGAGUCACCGGGAGCUGGAAAAGGCACAGGCGGGUCUUCCCCAGGCUUUGUUGGGAGGGCCGCCUUGCUGACACUUUCCUUUCCCACUUCCUGUUUCCGCUCUGUGAGAGGAAGUUUCUGUGUCCCAAGCCUCCACGUGUCUGGUAAUUUGUCUCAGCAGUGCUAGGAAAGUCUCUCAGCCUAUCCUGGAACUGAGGCUACUAGCACGAAUAUCAGGGAACACUUGUCUUAAGUUCAAAGAGUGAUGAUACAAAAAAAAUGGGCAGCCUUAUA